UGGUGGGGUAAUGGCCUACCAAGACCAUGAUACGUAGCCGACCUGAGAGGGUGAUCGGCCACACUGGGACUGAGACACGGCCCAGACUCCUACGGGAGGCAGCAGUAGGGAAUCUUCCACAAUGGGUGCAAACCUGAUGGAGCAAUGCCGCGUGAAUGAAGAAGGUCUUCGGAUCGUAAAGUUCCGUUAUUAGAGAAGAACAAGUCAAGGAGUAACUGUCUUGACUUUGACGGUACCUAACCAGAAAGUCACGGCUAACUACGUGCCAGCAGCCGCGGUAAUACGUAGGUGACAAGCGUUGUCCGGAAUUAUUGGGCGUAAAGGGAGCGCAGGCGGUUGGAAUAGUCUGAUGUGAAAGCCCACGGCUUAACCGUGGAAGGUCAUUGGAAACUGUCCAACUUGAAUGCAGAAGAGGUAAGUGGAAUUCCAUGUGUAGCGGUGAAAUGCGUAGAUAUAUGGAGGAACACCAGUGGCGAAGGCGACUUACUGGUCUGUGAUUGACGCUGAGGCUCGAAAGCGUGGGUAGCGAACAGGAUUAGAUACCCUGGUAGUCCACGCCGUAAACGAUGAGUGCUAAGUGUUGGAGGGUUUCCGCCCUUCAGUGCUGGAGUUAA
RNAcentral lists this ribosomal RNA (614 nucleotides) under uncultured bacterium. RNAcentral's name for it is "bacterial SSU rRNA". It matches the Rfam family "Bacterial small subunit ribosomal RNA", at positions 250 to 855 of the family's 1533-position model. The record is from RNAcentral.